GCGGGGGUCGCAUAGUCUGGCCAUUGCGUUGGAUUGCUAAUCCAAUGGGAUUAAUCCCACGGGGGUUCAAAUCCCCCUCCCCGCGCCA
RNAcentral lists this transfer RNA (88 nucleotides) under Candidatus Poseidoniaceae archaeon. RNAcentral describes it as "tRNA-Ser". It matches the Rfam family "tRNA". Rfam says of the family: Transfer RNA (tRNA) molecules are approximately 80 nucleotides in length. Their secondary structure includes four short double-helical elements and three loops (D, anti-codon, and T loops). Lineage: Archaea; Methanobacteriati; Thermoplasmatota; Candidatus Poseidoniia; Candidatus Poseidoniales; Candidatus Poseidoniaceae. The record is from RNAcentral.